Molecule: ribosomal RNA, 465 nt
Filed under: uncultured bacterium
Lineage: Bacteria
Description: partial 16S ribosomal RNA
Rfam family: Bacterial small subunit ribosomal RNA
Source: RNAcentral
GACGAACGCUGGCGGCGUGCUUAACACAUGCAAGUCGAACGGAAAGGCCCUGCUUGCAGGGUACUCGAGUGGCGAACGGGUGAGUAACACGUGGGUGAUCUGCCCUGCACUUCGGGAUAAGCCUGGGAAACUGGGUCUAAUACCGGAUAGGAGCCAUUUUUAGUGUGGUGGUUGGAAAGUUUUUUCGGUGUAGGAUGAGCUCGCGGCCUAUCAGCUUGGUUGUUGGGUAAUGGCCUACCAAGGCGGCGACGGGUAGCCGGCCUGGGAGGGUGGACGGCCACAGUGGGACUGAGAUACGGCCCAGACUCCUACGGGAGGCAGCAGGGGGGAAUAUUGCACAAUGGGGGCAAGCCUGAUGCAGCGACGCCGCGUGGGGGAUGACGGCCUUCGGGUUGGAAAAUCGUUUCGCUAGGGACGAAGCUGUUUGUGACGGUACCUAGAGAAGAAGCACCGGCUAACUACGUG